This 502-nucleotide ribosomal RNA is filed under the name uncultured Glomus. RNAcentral describes it as "SSU rRNA". It matches the Rfam family "Eukaryotic small subunit ribosomal RNA", at positions 569 to 1074 of the family's 1831-position model. Lineage: Eukaryota; Fungi; Glomeromycota; Glomeromycetes; Glomerales; Glomeraceae. The record is from RNAcentral.
AGCAGCCGCGGUAAUUCCAGCUCCAAUAGCGUAUAUUAAAGUUGUUGCAGUUAAAAAGCUCGUAGUUGAAUUUCGGGAUCAAUACGUCGGUCGUGCUUCGGUACGUACUGGUGUCAUUGAUUUCUCCCUUCUGACGAACCAUGAUGUCAUUAACUUGGUGUCAUGGGAAAUCAGGACUGUUACUUUGAAAAAAUUAGAGUGUUUAAAGCAGGCUCACGCUUGAAUACAUUAGCAUGGAAUAAUGAAAUAGGACGUUCGAUCCUAUUUUGUUGGUUUCUAGGAUUGACGUAAUGAUUAAUAGGGAUAGUUGGGGGCAUUAGUAUUCAAUUGUCAGAGGUGAAAUUCUUGGAUUUAUUGAAGACUAACUACUGCGAAAGCAUUUGCCAAGGAUGUUUUCAUUAAUCAAGAACGAAAGUUAGGGGAUCGAAGACGAUCAGAUACCGUCGUAGUCUUAACCAUAAACUAUGCCGACUAGGGAUCGGAUGAUGUUAAUUUUUAAUGA